UACAGAGGGUGCAAGCGUUGUUCGGAAUCAUUGGGCGUAAAGGGCGUGUAGGCGGUUUGUUAAGUCAUGUGUGAAAUCCCUCGGCUCAACCGGGGAACGACGCAUGAAACUGGCAAGCUAGAGUACCAAAGAGGGCGGUGGAAUUCCCGGUGUAGCGGUGAAAUGCGUAGAGAUCCGGAGGAACACCAGUGGCGAAGGCGACACGCUGGGCCGUACC
Molecule: ribosomal RNA, 217 nt
Filed under: uncultured prokaryote
Description: partial 16S ribosomal RNA
Rfam family: Bacterial small subunit ribosomal RNA
Source: RNAcentral